AUCUGAUAAGGGCAAACUUCUCCGAAAGGGAAGGACGCAAAGCCGUGAGCCUGCCUGUUUUUCAAAUGGUUGUCUGGCUGCCGGG
This 85-nucleotide non-coding RNA is filed under the name Jeotgalibacillus malaysiensis. Its description in RNAcentral is "c-di-GMP sequence". It matches the Rfam family "c-di-GMP-I riboswitch aptamer". Rfam says of the family: GEMM was predicted in a large-scale screen for bacterial structured RNA regulatory elements. Genes associated with GEMM are involved in a diverse array of functions, including chemotaxis regulation, signal transduction, secretion and chitin. The record is from RNAcentral. Lineage: Bacteria; Bacillati; Bacillota; Bacilli; Caryophanales; Caryophanaceae.